RNAcentral lists this long non-coding RNA (1338 nucleotides) under Amphimedon queenslandica. Its description in RNAcentral is "uncharacterized LOC109588092, transcript variant X2". Lineage: Eukaryota; Metazoa; Porifera; Demospongiae; Haplosclerida; Niphatidae. The record is from RNAcentral.
UCUUUCCUUCUUUCUGAACGAACUAAUUUAAUUUCCUCAGUUUGAGCUCUGAGGAGGUGAAGAAACUUGGCACGAAACGUGUCACGAACUCAACAUAUCUAUCGUUUGAUGACCUGAUGACCUCCCACAUCCAAACAAUGGCCUGUAAGACUCGCUGGAGACUAGUCAGGCACUGUUUCCUACUGAAGCCCACUGUAGUUAUGUCUCACCUUUGGCUGAAACUAUAUCCUGGUCUCUUUGGUCACAUUACUUUGCCUCUAGACUCCAGACUCCUGGUAUUGAGAUUGAUUGGAUGACCAUAAAGUGCACCAUUUUUAGAUGACAGAGUUUAGAGUUCAAAAGUUUGAGAAUGAUGAGACGACAGUCCUACAGAAGAUACUACAGGACACUAUUGACACUGAGGAGCUAUAAUGGUGGAGAAGAGGAAGAUAGCUAGCCAGAAUGAAGUGAUAAAUGAGAAUGAGGCUGUCACUAAACCAAAAAGUCAAUAGCUCAGAGGUUGUGGACCUACUGGACUUCACUUCAGACGAACGUAAACUCAUACAUGGACAGUGACAUUAAUAAAAGAUUGAAAUACACAUUUGUUCCCAGUGGAUUAAAACAAACAUUAUGAAAGAGCUAACUAUAUGUACAAGUACAAGUAUAUGUAUGCAGCUUGACCUCUCAUAUCACCAGAUCCUAACAUCAAUGAUCGGAAUACCAAUGAUGAUCAUUCUAAUGUCAAAUUACAAUUGAAAGUCCUAAUGUCCCUGGGUCAGAUUACACACUUAUAUCAAGACAACUACAUGUGCUACAUACAUUGACGAAAAUCAAAAGGAAAAUGCCAACAUUAUGCAUCUCAGAGUCCAGUUCCUUACUUUAUUGAUGACUUCUGGUGGAACAGAAUGUAGAAACAGUUGUAAUACUGACAAACUUUGAAGAGAAAGGAAAAGCAAUGUGUGGCCUGAUUCUGGUACAUGCACUGAGAUGUACAGAUUCUUUGAGACAACGCUUCACUCAAUGAAGGAAUACCCAGACUACACUGUACAUACAUGUACUUGGAAAAUUCAAGAUAGUUGACAGCAGAGUGAGAGGAUGCUGAGGGUAGUAGUCAACAUGUUAAACAGUUCCAAUGUGUACCUGAUUCAGCCAUUGGUCUAUUGGACGUGAGAGAAGAAGUAGAGAAAUGUCAGAGGAACUCUGAUGACAAACCAACAUUCACUGAAGAUUGUGAGUAUAGCACUGUAUUUAGCAAAGACCAGUUUUACAUGUACACUAUAUUAGAGGAUCAGAUUUAUGUACAGGUACAUGUGCUUGCAUUUGUUCACCAUUUUGUCUGUCAUAAUUUCUCUUCUCUCU